UACGGAAGGGGCAAGCGUUGUUCGGAAUCAUUGGGCGUAAAGGGCGCGUAGGUGGUUCUGUAUGCCUACCGUGAAAGCGUACGGCUCAACCGUAUUUUGUCGGUAGAAACUGCAGGACUUGAGGCUGGGAGGGGCUGGUGGAAUUCCCUGUGUAGCGGUGAAAUGCGUAGAGAUGGGGGAGAACACUCGUGGCGAAGGCGGCCAGCUAGACCAGUUCUGACACUGAGGCGCGACAGCGUGGGGAGCAAACAGG
This 253-nucleotide ribosomal RNA is filed under the name uncultured bacterium. RNAcentral's name for it is "partial 16S ribosomal RNA". It matches the Rfam family "Bacterial small subunit ribosomal RNA", at positions 524 to 776 of the family's 1533-position model. The record is from RNAcentral.